Molecule: non-coding RNA, 2183 nt
Organism: Podarcis lilfordi (Lilford's wall lizard)
Lineage: Eukaryota; Metazoa; Chordata; Lepidosauria; Squamata; Lacertidae
Source: the annotation of a GenBank genome assembly
CAACCCACACCCACUGAUGAAGGUUCUGAGUCUGAAUCUGAAACUGAAUCGGGUGAUUCAGAGGAUUUCGAGAGUGCGAAAGCCUCUAUGCGACCCUCUGAAAGCUCUGAUCAAGAAUUGGAGGAACCAUUGUUCACAAUAGGUCGUUUUUCUCCUAAGAAGGAAGAGGAGAGUGUUGAAGACUUAAGGCUAAUUCGUAGGUCACAGAGAGCUACAAAAGGCAAACCUCCAAAGAGAUUUGCUGAUGAGUUUGCUACGAUAGCAGUAACAGCUGUUAAAAGCUCCAAGAAGGUAUUUGAACCUUCAAGUUUCCAAGAAAUCCAGGGUUUGGAUUCAAAGGAAGCUGAGCCAUGGUUAAAUGCCAUGAAGGCUGAGCUUGAUUCCUUAGAAAGGAACAAAACAUGGGAGCUAGUUCCAGUAGUUCCAGGAAUGAAACUGCUUGGAAGCAAAUGGGUCUUCAAAGCGAAGACAGAUCAAAAUGGCAAGAUAGUCAGACACAAAGCCAGAUUGGUAGCCAGAGGUUUUGCACAGGUACCAGGUGAAGACUAUCACGAGACCUAUUCACCCACAGUGAGAUAUGAAAGCAUUAGGCUUAUGCUCAAGCUAGCUGCAGAGGAAAAUCUACACAUUAGUCACCAUGAUAUUAAUACAGCUUUUCUGUACGGAUCUCUAGAUGAAUCACUUUAUAUGCUUCCACCUGAUGGCGUACAGGUAAAACAGGGAUUUGUUUGUGCUCUGAAGAAAUCCCUUUAUGGUCUCAAACAAAGUGCACGGUGUUGGCACACAAAACUCACUGAAGUAUUGUUUUCUCUAGGUUUUCAGCAAGGGAAAGCUGAUCCAUGUGUAUUUGUCAAAGAGGAGGGGCAAAAGAAACUGUACUGUUUGUUUUAUGUUGAUGAUUUAUUAUUCUUUUGGAAAGAUGUUGCAAUGUACAAUAGCGCCCUAGCUCAACUGAAAGAGCACUUUGACAUGAAAGAUCUUGGUGAGGUAAACAACUACCUAUCUCUGGAAAUAGAGAGAGAUCAAGAUGGUAACAUUCUAGUACACCAGUCACGGAAAAUUGCUGAUGUGUUAAGCAAACUAAAUCUGAUGGAUGCUAACCCUGUAGACACACCGAUGACAACAGGUUAUCAGGUAGAUGACACUGAAGAAGCAUUUUCUGACACUACACUGUACAGGAGUGUGCUAGGCAAGCUAAACUUCAUUGCCAGAUGUUCAAGACCAGACAUUGCUGUUAGCUGUAAUUUGCUAAGCAGACAAGUCAACAAUCCUAGUGUCAAGGAUUGAAAGUUCUGAAACGCAUAGCGCGGUAUUUGAAAGGCACUAUGCAUUACAGACUGAGAUUUAACAAUCAGAAGUCUGGUGGUCUUGAGAUAUUUGCAGAUGCAAGUUUUGGAAGUGACGCUACAGACAGGAAAAGUACGUCUGGAGUUUGCUAUAUGUACAAUCAGAGUCUGUUUGAUUGGUCAUGCAAGAAGCAAACAACAGUUAGCUUAAGUACUUGUGAAGCCGAACUGAAUGCACUGUCUUAUUCACUUAAGGAUUGUGAAUGGUUAGUACAAUUGUGCAAAGAUAUGAAAAUUCCUGUCAAAUGUCCAAUCCAGGUUUACCAGGACAACAAAGCAUGUUUGGCUUUGCUGAAGUCUGAAGGUUGUAAGCAAAGCACAAAGCACUUGCAAUUAAAGUUGCAGCAUGCUAGGGAAUGUAUUCAGAAGGGACUCGUAACGGUGUCCUAUAUGCCAGGUAAUGAAAUUCCUGCUGAUGUAUUGUCCAAGAUUGUAUCAAGGGAUCAACACUGUACCUAUGUGCAGAAGUUGGGUUUGUACUGAUAUUGUGCAAACACGCUGCCCAGUGAUGUUCACAGAAAGGGGGAGGAUGUUGGUUUCUGCUUUCCUUCACUGUGCAGCUCUGCUUGUCACGAGACAGGUGUUUACAUUCCACAGUCUGUACUGUUGGAGUUUCUCACGGGAAAGGGAGACUGGAUGUGACGUACACUGGUUUCCUGUUUUUCACUGUGUGAUUCUCUCCGAGCUGUCGAGGAGAGAGGAUGCAUUUUCUGCUCCGGCAGAGGCAAGAUGUCUUUCUGUAAUAUACCAGCUUUGAACUGUAAAUAAAGCAAUAUAGAGUAUGCAGCACGUAUUCCUCAUCCUUCCGCUGGGCCCAAGACUCUGCUUAAAUCAACA